UGUUCGAGCGUCAUUUCAACCCUCAAGCUCUGCUUGGUAUUGGAUGCCAUCACUUGUGGUGCACCUCAAAAGUAUUGGCGGUAGUACUUCAGCUCCAUGUGCAGUAAUUUUCUCGCUUGGAGUCUGGAGGGCUACCUGCUGGAACACCCAAAUUUAUCAAGGUUGACCUCGGAUCAGGUAGGGAUACCCGCUGAACUUAA
This 200-nucleotide unclassified non-coding RNA is filed under the name soil metagenome. RNAcentral describes it as "partial contains internal transcribed spacer 2 and large subunit ribosomal RNA". The record is from RNAcentral.